GACGAACGCUGGCGGCGUGCUUAACACAUGCAAGUCGAACGGAAAGGCCCUGCUUUUGUGGGGUGCUCGAGUGGCGAACGGGUGAGUAACACGUGAGUAACCUGCCCUUUACUUUGGGAUAACUUCAGGAAACUGGGGCUAAUACCGGAUAGGAGCUCCUGCUGCAUGGUGGGGGUUGGAAAGUUUCGGCGGUUGGGGAUGGACUCGCGGCUUAUCAGCUUGUUGGUGGGGUAGUGGCUUACCAAGGCUUUGACGGGUAGCCGGCCUGAGAGGGUGCCCGGCCACAUUGGGACUGAGAUACGGCACAGACUCCUACCGGAGGCAGCAGUGGGGAAUAUUGCACAAUGGGCGGAAGCCUGAUGCAGCAACGCCGCGUGCGGGAUGACGGCCUUCGGGUUGUAAACCGCUUUCGACUGUGACGAAGCGUGAGUGACGGUAAUGGGUAAAGAAGCACCGGCUAACUACGUG
Molecule: ribosomal RNA, 468 nt
Filed under: uncultured bacterium
Lineage: Bacteria
Description: partial 16S ribosomal RNA
Rfam family: Bacterial small subunit ribosomal RNA
Source: RNAcentral